ACCUCCAGCUUCACGUUGGUGCCUGACAGCUGCCACACUGGACUCGGACUGAGCCGAACUGUCGUUCCUGUGAUGCCCCAGGGCGGGCUGAGCUGGUCGGGGUUGCGAUGCCUUAUGUGGACCGACAGAAUCGCAUCUGCGGCUUCCUGGACAUCGAGGAGAAUGAGAACAGCGGGCGGUUCCUGCGGCGAUACUUCAUCCUGGACACUCAGCAGGGCAGCCUGCUGUGGUUCAUGGACAACCCACAGAAUCUGCCUAAAGGUGCAGAGAACGUGGGGUCUCUCAAACUCACCUACAUCUCCAAGGUCAGUGAUGCCACCAAACUCAGACCAAAGGCUGAGUUCUGCUUCGUUGUCAAUGCUGGCAUGAGGAAGUUUUAUCUGCAGGCCAACGACCAGCAGGAUUUGGUGGACUGGAUCAGCGCUCUCAACAACGCCACCAAGAUUACUGUGCCAAAGCCAGGCGAGGGCCACACCGCCCAUGCAGAGGCUCCCCAGGAGGCCGCCGGAGCCACGAAGCAGGUCUCCUACAAGACUGAGAUCAUAGGAGGAGUCCCUAUCAUCACCGCAACACAGGAGCAGGGGGAGGGGCAGAACGGGGCGGAGCGCGGAGGUUUGAAGAGAGGUCAGAACCAGCUGCCCUACUAUCUGUCCAGAGGAGUGCAGGAUCAGGGCAUCAUCAAGGCCGGAUACUGUGUCAAACAGGGAGCUGUGAUGAAGAACUGGAAGAGACGGUACUUCAUGCUGGAAGAAAACGCUCUCAGCUACUACAAAUCUGACCUGGAGAGAGAGGCUCUGAGGCUCAUACCGUUAAAGGAGAUCCACAAAGUCCAGGAGUGCAAACAGAGCGAGCUGAUGAUGAGGGACAACCUGUUUGAAAUGGUCACCAGCUCCAGAACCUUCUACAUACAGGCUGACAGUCCAGAGGACAUGCACAGCUGGAUCAAAGCCAUCUCAGGUGCAAUCGUGGCUCAGCGCGGCCCCGGACGCUCGGCUAACACUAGAGUGAGGUGUGACAGUGACGUACUAACCCUCCCCAAAUGAGCCCCGCUGCCUACUUCCUGCCCCUCCUCCACCUGCUGCUCAUCGUCCAAUCACCAAGCCCCACUGCCUCUCUCCGCUUCCUUUGCCACCGCCGCUGUCUGACCCCGCCCUGCUCCCCGGCAGACGCAGCAUCACUUGUUCGAACGUAGCGACCACCCCUCUCCCUCCCCAAGCUCCGCCUCCGUCUUCUACUACCCCCUCGAUGAGGAAUCACACCUCGCCCAGUCCUCCUCCGGCGCCUCCUCAGCGGGCCUUGAGCCUCACCCUGGACCCGCACCGCCAGGAGAACUUCCUGGGCCUGCUCCCGUGGAGGCUGAGCGGCGUCCAGUCGGUGAUGAUGCCCCUCCCUUCGGCUCGGUCGCGCCUGUCCCUGCAGGAGACGGUGCAGACUUCCAAGUGAGGGGGGAGAGCGAGUCGCCGUGGAAGAGGCGCAGCGAGGUCGCCGCCCAGCUGUCGUUCGUCCGCGGCGAGGGCGACGAGGAGCCGAACAGUCGCACCACUGAAAGUUCUGACCUGCAGAUCACCCUGAUAUGAGGAGGAGGAGGAGGAUCUAGAUGAUCUCUACAGGACACACACUUCUACACACACACACACACACACACACACACACACACACACACACACACACACACACACACACACACACACACUUCUACUGGAGACUGUUCUGUGUUUAGAAAACUACCUGACUCUCCUUCUUCAAACCUUCCUGGGACCAUUUCUUUGUAUGUGUGCGCACAUGAUGAAUAUGACCUCCUCCUCUUCCUCCUCCUCCUCCUCCUUCUUCUUCUUCUGCUGUUUUUCUCUCACCUUCGUCUUCCUGGAUUUUAUUUACAAAGUAUCGCUGCAAACAAACAAUCCAAGCCAUGCCGUGAAGAGAAGGAGAAGAAGCCUCGUACAGUCUGACGGGUUUCAUGAUUCGUCUCUGAAGCCAAAGUUUGCAGCCGUGUGUGUUUUUCUUUUUCUACGUUAGCUCUGACGUAAGCUAGUUAAAGUGUUAAACAUCUGAGAGACUGACUAAUCCAGCUCCUCAGUUCCUUUUAAGACAAUCCCCGUUCACAUUAAAUCCCGUGCCAUCCUGUCAAACAGGUUUUUAGCUCUGAUUGUCCCCCUCCUGUGGAUGUUCUCUUAUUUACAAAGAAGUCCUUCGUCCUCUUAAAGACUAGAACACGGAGAUAAGACGAAUCUCAUCAGCUCUCGUUGAAUAUUCAGAAACUGUGAUUUCCCCCGUCGUAGGGUCUGAUCAUGCAAGCAUUUAAAGCACUUAGAUUUCAUACCAGCGUGUGUCCAUUUCAGUGUAACCGCUGCCGUCAGUGGGUUCACGUGUAGAGACAGAGCAGUCUAUUUUUGUGAUGUGGCGAGCUCCUUUUUUUAAAGAAACACGAGGUACCUGAAAGAAGAGGUGGAGAAAACCAUCCCACUGCACCCUCAUCCCAACAUUUAUGAUAUGUUUCUCAACCUUCUACUUGACCCCAAAGCAUGAAGACAGAUGGGACAGUACUUCACUUGUGUUCCAUCAAGUUAAGCCCAUGACACCUUGAGGAAGCUCUGACUUCCUGAACCCAACUAGCUCUCCUCUCUUGUUUCAACGACACACCAAAACAGAGAAGAAAGCAGAAAAAAUCAAAGAGAGGUGUUAGAAAGAAGACAACGAAGGCAGGACGAGAAGCUUGACUAGGCUAGUGCUCAACUCAGCUGGGUCAAGCUGUACGCUCUGCCUCCCCUUACUCCCAGACUCUGAGGAAAGAGAGGAGAGAAAGAAUACAACUUUGAAGACAGACGCUAGAAUGAAGAAAGAGAAGGCACAGUCAGGACUCAGAGCUUAACCCAGCGAAGUCAGGCUGUACGCUCUGCCUCUCCCCGAGUCCUGGACUCUAAUUAGGGAGGAGAGAGAACUCAGAGUCUGCAGAGAGGUGUUAGAAAGAGGACAGGGAAGGCAGAGCCAAAGCCAAGGAUUUCGACCCAGCUGGUUCAAGCUGUACGCUCUACCUCCCCUUACUCACCCACUGCAAUGAGGGAAGAAAGGAGAGAAGAGAGAGAAUUAGAGUCUACCAAGAGAUGCUAGAAAGAGGACAGGGAAAGAAGAGCCAAAGCUAAGGAGUUCGACCCAGCUGGGUCAGACUGUACGCAUUACCUCCCCCUAGUCCUGGACUCUAAUGAGCGAAGGGAGACAACUCAAGAAGCUGCAGAGAUGCUAGAAAUAGGACAGGGAAGGUAGAGCCAGGGCAAAAGAGUUCAACCCAACGAAGUCAGGCUGUAAGCUCCACCUCCCCCUAGUCCUGGACUCUAAUGAGGAAAGAGAGGAGAGAAGAGAGUAAUCAAUUGUCUGCAGUGAGAUGCUAAAAUGAUGAUGGGGAAGACAGAGGCAAGGUGAAAAAGUUGAACCAAGCUGGGUCAGGCUGUACGCUCUGCCUCCCGCUAGUCCUGGACUCUAAUGAGGGAAGUAAGGAAAGAAGAGAGAGAAUAAGAGUCUGCAGAGAGAUACUAGAAAGAGGACAGGGAAGGCAGAGCCAGGGCAAAAGAGAUUAACCCAACAAAGUCAGGCUGUAUGCUCUACCUCCCCUUACUCUCCUACUCUAAUGAGGGAAGAGAGGAAAGAAGAGAGAGACUAAGAGGUAUUAGAAAGAGGACAGGGAAGGCAGAGCCCAUGAGUUUGACCGAGCUGGGUCAGGCUGUACGCUCUACCUCCCCCUACUUCCAAACUCUACCGAGGUGAGUAGGGGGAGAGAAUUAGAGUCUGCAGAGAGAUGCCAGAAAGAGGACAGGGAAGGCAGAGCCAGGGCAAAAAAGCUCAACCCAGCCGGGUCAGGAUGUACGCUCUACCUCCCCCCACUCUAAUGAGGGAAGAGAGAGAAUACAAGUCUGCAGAGAGAUAUUAGAAAGAGGAGAGGGAAUGCAGAUCCAGGGAAAAAGAGCUCAACCCAACUGGGUCAGGCUGUAAUCUCUACCUCCCCCUAGUCCUGGAUUCUAAUGAGGAAAGAGAAGAGAGAUAACAUAAGAGUCUGCAGAGAGAUGUUUGAAAGAGGACAGGGAAGGCUGAGCCAGGGCAAAGGGGCUCAACCCAACAAAGUCAGGCUGUACGCUCUACCACCCCCCGAGUCCUGGACUCUAAUUGGGAAAAAGAGAGAACUCAAGAGUCUGCAUAGAGUUGUUAGAAAGAGGACAGGGAAGGCAGAGCCAAAGCCACAGCCGAGGAUUUCCACCAAGCUUCGUCAGGCUGUACGCUCUACCUCCCCUACUCAGACACUGUAAUGAGAGAAGAGAAAGAAUAAGAGAUCUACCUAAGCACUCUAAUAAGGGAAGAGAGUGAACUCAAGAGUCUGCAGAGAGAUGCUAGAAAGAGGACAGGGAAGGCAAAAGAGUUCAACCCAGUUAUGUCAGGCUGCACGCUCCACCUCCCCCUACUCAGACACUGUAAUAAGAGAAGAGAGAAGAGAAAGAACAAGAGUCUGCAGAGAGAUGUUAGAAAGAGGACAGGGAAGGCAGAGCCAGGGCAAAGGAGCUCAACCCAGCUAGGUCAGGCUGCACGCUCCACCUCCCCCUACUCAGACACUGUAAUAAGAGAAGAGAGAAGAGAAAGAACAAGAGUCUGCAGAGAGAUGCUUGAAAGAGGACAGGGAAGGCAGAGCCAGGGCGAAAAAAGCUGAACCCAGCUGGGUCAGGCUGCACGCUCCACCUCCCCAUACCUACUGAAUAAGGAGUUAGCUUGUUAACUUGUCCCACUAAUAACAAACCCAAGCAACCAAACCAGCAUCCAGUGACACCUUCGUGAAAGGACGAGCCUAAGGGAACGCCUGAUUCAAACGUGAAUUUGACUUCUCAGGUUUCAACGUACGAUUAUUUUAACGAUCCAUCGACCAGCAGAUCAUGGAGUGGGUUAUUUUAAUGCUUAGGAACGCUCAGAAAAAACAGCACAUGUUCUGUUUCAGAGGCUGGAAAAAUCCUGAAGAUAGAUCGCAGUCUUCCAAAUCAACUAGUCAUUUAUUAGCUGCAGCUUUAGUGGAAACCUAAAGCCUUUAAGAGUUCUUUUAUUCCUUUUUAAUGACGUCAGGAUUUGAGAGGUGUUUGGAGCUCAGGAUUGAAGAUUUCAGAGUGAGAUAUAUAUAAAAAGGAGUAUCAGCAGAUCAGUAACUAUUACAGUUAGAGGGUUUAACGCACAAGAGAACUUUCUGUCUAAGAUGUGGAUGUUUCUGAAAGGAGACUCUGCUUUGAGAAUUUUAAAGACAGAUUUAAAAAAGUUAUUAACCCUUUAAAAGAAGCAGGAACACCAACCCUUCCAGGAGACCGACGUGUGUGUCUUUGAUAAACCAGAUGACGUAUUCUUCACUGUGCAAAUCACCAGAAAUCUGAGCUGAUCACUUUAACUGUUCAUGAAAGUGACUUCAAGACGACUCACUGCUGUCCAUUCUGCUCACCAGCUUUACUUACCUCACCUGCUGCACUGUACAUCCAUGUUACUGUUCCUCUGUGACUCCAUGACAUAUUGAUGUUCUUGUUUCAGUGUUUUAGUUUAAAGCUGUCAGGAGAUAAGAAACCAAACUCAAGCUGUUGACGUGUCGGGUGUUGUUGAAUCAGGGUUGGAGAUCCACAAAGUCAGCAGCCCGUCGUUUUGACGCCGCGAGCGCUUCACACUCCACGUGUCGGCGGCUGUUGUUCUCCGUUCUGACGUGCUUUAAGUCGAGUUUAUUCUUCACCGUGAUGAGAUGUGUUUGAGGAAAAUAAAUCUACAUAUAUUUGUUGUUUACUGACUUUUAUAAACACGUGCAUGACGGCAUGCACACAUCCCCUCCACCGCUGUCGUUUCCCUGUAAAAACAUAAGCUGGGUAAAGUGCCUGCAUUGUUCUUUCUAAAGAGUGGAUGAAAAGUGACAAGCUGUUUUGAUCCUUUUUAGUGUGUACUUGAUUCUAAGAAUAUGUGCUCUGUUUAUUAAAAGAAAUGUAUUUGAAAAGAA
This is an RNA transcript of Notolabrus celidotus (New Zealand spotty), 5995 nucleotides long. It is a transcript of the gene named pleckstrin homology domain-containing family A member 1-like, with no coding region annotated. The transcript has 13 exons. Lineage: Eukaryota; Metazoa; Chordata; Actinopteri; Labriformes; Labridae. The record is from RefSeq and is a predicted model, not a curated record.